Molecule: ribosomal RNA, 180 nt
Filed under: uncultured Glomeromycotina
Lineage: Eukaryota; Fungi; Glomeromycota
Description: partial small subunit ribosomal RNA
Rfam family: Eukaryotic small subunit ribosomal RNA (bases 37-180)
Source: RNAcentral
GGAUCAAGGAAUCGGUCAUGCCUCGGUAUGUACUGGUUUUAUUGGUUCUCACCUUCUAAAGAACCAUAAUGUCAUUUAUUUGGUGUUAUGGGGAAUUAGGACUGUUACCUUGAAAAAAUUAGAGUGUUUAAAGCAGGCUCACGCUUGAAUACAUUAGCAUGGAAUAACGAAAUAGGACGU